AAAUGAAUAGACGGGGACCCGCACAAGCAGCGGAGCAUGUUGUUUAAUUCGAGGCAACGCGAAGAACCUUACCAAAUCUUGACAUCCCACUGACCGCAUCUGUAAAGGAUGCCUCUACUUCGGUAGCAGUGGAGACAGGUGGUGCAUGGUUGUCGUCAGCUCGUGUCGUGAGAUGUUGGGUUAAGUCCCGUAACGAGCGCAACCCCUAUUUUUAGUUGCCAUCAGGUAAAGCUGGGCACUCUAAAGAGACUGCCAGAGACAAUCUGGAGGAAGGUGGGGAUGAUGUCAAAUCAUCAUGCCCUUUAUGAUUUGGGCUACAAACGUGCUACAAUGGUCGGUACAGCAGGUUGCGAAACCGCAAGGUGGAGCUAAUCUCCAAAGCCGAUCCCAGUUCGGAUUGAGGGCUGCAACUCGCCCUCAUGAAGUUGGAGUUGCUAGUAAUCGCGAAUCAGCAUGUCGCGGUGAAUGCGUUCCCGGGUCUUGUACACACCGCCCGU
This 497-nucleotide ribosomal RNA is filed under the name uncultured bacterium. Its description in RNAcentral is "bacterial SSU rRNA". It matches the Rfam family "Bacterial small subunit ribosomal RNA", at positions 903 to 1397 of the family's 1533-position model. The record is from RNAcentral.